RNAcentral lists this ribosomal RNA (433 nucleotides) under uncultured bacterium. RNAcentral describes it as "partial 16S ribosomal RNA". It matches the Rfam family "Bacterial small subunit ribosomal RNA", at positions 29 to 507 of the family's 1533-position model. The record is from RNAcentral.
AACGAACGCUGGCGGCAGGCUUAACACAUGCAAGUCGAACGGAUCCUUCGGGAUUAGUGGCUGACGAGUGAGUAACGCGUGGGAACGUACCCUUUGCUACGGAAUAACUCAGGGAAACUUGAGCUAAUACCGUAUGUGCCCUACGGGGGAAAGAUUUAUCGGCAAAGGAUCGGCCCGCGUUGGAUUAGCUAGUGGGUGGGGUACUGGCCUACCAAGGCUACGAUCCAUAGCUGGUCUGAGAGGAGGAUCAGCCACACUGGGACUGAGACACGGCCCCGACUCCUACGGGAGGCAGCAGUGGGGAAUAUUGGACAAUGGGCGCAAGCCUGAUCCAGCCAUGCCGCGUGAGUGAUGAAGGUCUUAGGAUUGUAAAGCUCUUUCACCGGUGAAGAUAAUGACGGUAGCCGGAGAAGAAGCCCCGGCUAACUUCGUG